RNAcentral lists this long non-coding RNA (437 nucleotides) under Chrysemys picta bellii (western painted turtle). RNAcentral's name for it is "lncRNA (ENSCPBG00000006844.1)". The record is from RNAcentral. Lineage: Eukaryota; Metazoa; Chordata; Testudines; Emydidae.
UCUGCCUCUCUAAGUUGUGUUUCUACCCUGCAGAGAUUUUUUUUUUAUCGCCUUUUAAGUGCUAGGUCUCCUUCUGAAUGUAUUCAGUUGCAGCUUCUAUUGCUGCCUUUGAUAACCGAUUCCACAAAUUAACCCUUUGUAUCAUUUCUCCAAAACUCCUUUUGACAGCAGAUUUCUUUUUCCAGCUAAUCUAAGGAAUAACAUAAAGCCUCAAAGCCUCAAUGAGAUGCUUUUGGGCUACAAACGGUGCAAAACUUCUCUCACAAGCCAGGAAUGAAAGAUUUCAAAGCACUCUACAAAUAUUAUGGACCAAACUAUGCCCUUGGAUGUGUUGCACGUGGCGUCCACUGUCUUCAGUGGCAUCCUGAUUUAGGCCUCUAACAGAAGAAUUGAGACUUAUUUAAUCGAACCUCAGAACAUCUUGGUAAGGGAUCACU